AUGAGUUAAGUAUAAACCCCUUUACAAGUAACAAUUGGAGGGCAAGUCUGGUGCCAGCAGCCGCGGUAAUUCCAGCUCCAAUAGCGUAUAUUAAAGUUGUUGCAGUUAAAAAGCUCGUAGUUGGAUUUCUGUUAGUAAUUUAUAUUAUAAUACAUUAAUAUGUAUAUAAUAUGAUAUUAACACAAUUCAUAUUACUAUAUUACUUAGUAUAUGAAAUUCUACUUUGAGAAAAUUAGAGUGCUUAAAGCAGGCAAUUGCCUUGAAUACUACAGCAUGGAAUAAUAAUAAAAGAUUUUUAUCUUUUUUUUUAUUGGUUCUAAGAUAAAAAUAAUGAUUAAUAGGGACAGUUGGGGGCAUUUGUAUUUAACAGUUAGAGGUGAAAUUCUUAGAUUUGUUAAAGACAAACUAAUGCGAAAGCAUUUGCCAAGGAUGUUUUCAUUAAUCAAGAACGAAAGUUAGGGGAUCGAAGACGAUCAGAUACCGUCGUAGU
Molecule: ribosomal RNA, 490 nt
Filed under: Cryptosporidium sp. vole genotype IV
Lineage: Eukaryota; Apicomplexa; Conoidasida; Eucoccidiorida; Cryptosporidiidae
Description: SSU rRNA
Rfam family: Eukaryotic small subunit ribosomal RNA
Source: RNAcentral